GUGCCAGCCGCCGCGGUAAUACGUAGGGGGCGAGCGUUAUCCGGAAUUAUUGGGCGUAAAGCGCGCGCAGGCGGUCGAUUAAGUCAGGUGUGAAAGGCUGCGGCUCAACCGCAGAGCGGCACCUGAAACUGGUCGACUUGAGUGCAGGAGAGGGGAGUGGAAUUCCCGGUGUAGCGGUGGAAUGCGUAGAGAUCGGGAGGAACACCAGUGGCGAAGGCGGCUCUCUGGCCUGUAACUGACGCUGAGGCGCGAAAGCGUGGGGAGCAAACAGGAUUAGAUACCCCCGUAGUCC
Molecule: ribosomal RNA, 292 nt
Filed under: uncultured bacterium
Lineage: Bacteria
Description: partial 16S ribosomal RNA
Rfam family: Bacterial small subunit ribosomal RNA
Source: RNAcentral